This 23-nucleotide non-coding RNA is filed under the name Arabidopsis thaliana (thale cress). The record is from RNAcentral. Lineage: Eukaryota; Viridiplantae; Streptophyta; Magnoliopsida; Brassicales; Brassicaceae.
ACUGGGGCUUUUAUAAUAUUGGG